RNAcentral lists this transfer RNA (73 nucleotides) under Candidatus Omnitrophota bacterium. RNAcentral's name for it is "Candidatus Omnitrophica bacterium tRNA-Arg". It matches the Rfam family "tRNA". From Rfam's summary of the family: Transfer RNA (tRNA) molecules are approximately 80 nucleotides in length. Their secondary structure includes four short double-helical elements and three loops (D, anti-codon, and T loops). The record is from RNAcentral. Lineage: Bacteria; Pseudomonadati; Candidatus Omnitrophota.
GCCCCUAUAGCUCAACAGGACAGAGCGCGGCCCUCCUAAGGCUGAAAUCCCCGUUCGAGUCGGGGUGGGGGCA